RNAcentral lists this long non-coding RNA (666 nucleotides) under Rattus norvegicus (Norway rat). Its description in RNAcentral is "long non-coding RNA NONRATT001583". Lineage: Eukaryota; Metazoa; Chordata; Mammalia; Rodentia; Muridae. The record is from RNAcentral.
CCUCAUCCUCCUCCUAAUCCUCCGCCACCGCCACCGCUGCUGCUGCUGCUUCUUUUUUCACUGAGCUACAUGUAGAACACAUGAGUUGAACCAUGUGCUUCCCAACAUGUGUUCUAUCCACCUUGCCUCACGCCCAAACUCACAGCGCAACCAUGGACAAAAGUCAUGAGCCAAAAUCCACCGCUCCUCCUGCUUUCAUUUGAGAAGUCCUGAAGAACCUUGCUCUCAGUGCCGCUUAGAAAGUCGUCUCUGCGCGGAUCCCUAGGUGUAGCUGUGUGGAACUCAGGCCGCUGCAGGUCAUAUUCUUUUUGUAUGGGGGAGUGAAUGCAAGAAGUUUCCCGAGAGUGCAGUGAAAUGUGUUAGAAGCUUAAAAGAAAGGGGAACCUAAGACCCCCGCACGGUCGGUCCUCAAACGCCAGGUCAAGUGCACAGGAGGCUUCAGAUGUAGAGAGGAAGAUGCUGCAUCUUCUUGCUGUUCACCUUCUAUUGCUUUCUAUAAUCUUGCCUUUCCCACUUCCAAACUGUCCCUUGUGAAGCAAAAUGAGACAGAGAGAGAUGUCUGUCUGGCAGAGGAUAGACAACCUGUAGUCAAACACUAUGUUUAGUCUCUUGGUCCUCAAGUUUGAUGCAAGCCUUUUAACUACACUAAAAGACAGGUUAAAAUGU